AAUAAAAUUUGACCUUCUAUGGACAUUGACUUCCCAGACCUUGGCUUACCCACUUGUACCUCCGAACUUAAGGACUUGUCGUAUAAUCAGAGAUUACCUUAUAAUCGGAGAUUGCCUUACAUAUUUCUAUUUUCUGUAGCCCAGUGUUUUAAAAUUGCAGGCUAUGAAUCAUUAGUUUGUUUCGAAAUCAGUUUAGUGGGUUGUGACCAGCGUUAAAAGAUGUUAGAGGGCCAGCCCUGCUGGCCUAGUGGUUGAGUUUGGCAUGCUCUGCUUUGGCGGCCCAGGUUCUCUUCCCAGGCGCAGACAUACACCACUUGUCAGUGACCAUGCUGUGGCGGCAGUGGUUCACAUACAGAAAGUGUAAGAUUGGCAACAGGUGUUAGCUCUGGGUGAAUCUUCCUCACCAAAAAAAAAAAAAAAGAAAGAAAAAAGGAAAUAUCAGAGUACAUCACAUGUAGUGAGGGUAAUUAUUGUUUCAUGAAACAAUAUGUGUGUGUAUGUGUGUAUUGGACCAUAAUGUAAAAUAAUACUUCUUGCUCUGGGUUGUGGUAAAAUGGAAAGCCUCUGCUGUAAGCAAUUUUGUUAUUCAUCAUACUCUAUGGCAACUAUUCCUUGCCAUUAGACAGAGCAAGAAUUGAAGCUCACAGCAACUUCAACUUCUUAUUGUGUGGCACUGUCCAAGGGGCAGCUCUCCUCAAUACUUAUCCAUAGGAGGUGUCAUUAUCUGGAAAGGAAAGCAACUUCAACAGCUGAAAUAGUAGAGGAACUCUAGUAAAAUGUUACUUCUAGUAAAAUAGAAGUGGUGUUAAUGGGAGUCCUGUCUUUUACCUCAUCUCAUGGAGGAAGUUUCCAACUUUUUGCUAUGUUUGGUAGAAUUCACUGAUGAAGUCAUCUGAGCCUGGGGCUAUCUUUGUGGAAAAGUUUUAAAUUACAGUUUCCUUUUUUUGAUCAUCAUUACUUUUGAGUUUUGUUUUGGAAUUCCACUCACUGACUGUCUGAAACAGGCCUCUUUGGAUUUUUAAAAAAUUCUUAUUCAAUUUUGAUAAAUUGUAUAUUUUCUAGAAAGUUGUCCUAAAUGUUAAUGCUUAUUGUCACAAUAGGCCAUGAGUUAUCAAUUUUCAAAGAACCAGGUAAUCUUUUCUACUGUAUGUUUUCUAUAUUGUUGUUUCCAUCUCUUAUCUUUAUUAUCUUCUUUCUGUUUGGGUUGAAUUUGCUGGAAUUUUUUUCUAACUUAUAAAUGUGGAUGCUUAGCACAUUGAUUUUCAACCUUUUGUCUUUUCUAAUAUGUGCUUUAAAGAAGUAAUGACGUGUGAGGAGGGUGAGGAUUCUGUCUGUGGGAUGGAAUAGCUAAAGAAAGAAUCACAGAGAAUAUGGACCUGAGUUUUCAAAAAGAGGAAGGGA
Molecule: long non-coding RNA, 1401 nt
Filed under: Equus caballus (horse)
Lineage: Eukaryota; Metazoa; Chordata; Mammalia; Perissodactyla; Equidae
Description: lncRNA (ENSECAG00000058756.1)
Source: RNAcentral